Molecule: long non-coding RNA, 3765 nt
Organism: Polistes dominula (European paper wasp)
Lineage: Eukaryota; Metazoa; Arthropoda; Insecta; Hymenoptera; Vespidae
Gene: UbcE2H
Source: RefSeq, a predicted model, not a curated record
AAAGAGAAAGAGAAAUAGAAAUAGAGAUAGAUAACAAAAUAGGAGAGCAGCACUGGGAAUUUAUGGGUCUUCUACCGUACGUACGAUACAAUAUUCCCGUGAGAUAAGAUUAUCGAAUUUUGAGCGAAAUCAAUAAUUUUUUUUAUUUUAUUUUAUUUUAUUUUAUUUUAUUUUAAAGGUUAGUAUAUUUGUGUAAGAGAAAGAAAAACAGAGAGAGAGAGAGUUGGAAUUUUAAUUUCUUUAUUAGCAUCGAUCGUUCUUCUCUCCUGUUUUGUUCAUCCUUUCUUCUUUUUCUUCUUCCAAUUUGCAUAUAUCCUCGUGUCUUCGCGCGCUGCUAAUUAUUAUUAUUAUUAUUAUUAUUGUGUAAUCUUUAUAGAUAGUUGUUUGAUGUAUUUCUUUUUCUCUCUUCUCUUUUCUUUAUUUUUUUUUUUUUUAAUACUUUUUUUUUCUCAUUAAUUUUAAAAGAUUCGAGUCUGAUUUAGUUUCCGAGCACAAGUCGAGAUUUUGUCGAGGUAUGUCAGUUAUGUGUAAUAAUACAUUGAAUUCAAGUGGAAUAAAAAAAAAAAAGAGAAAAAUACGUGUGCCAUGAGAGAAAUUAAAUCGAGAAAUUGUAAGGGCCCAAGUUGACAACGAACAUCCAGUAGUACAAUACGUAAACGUCGACAUUCAAUUCCAAAAUUCAUACGUGAUAAUUAACGUCCCUCUUAUGCGUAUUGUGGAGCUCAUGAAAUCACAUUGGAUUAAUUUUUUUCUUUUUUUUUUUUCUUUUCUUUUUAAUUAGAACGAAUCGACAAAAUAUGUUUGAAAAGAAGGAAGAAAAACAAAACGAAAAAUGAAAUUUUAAAUAUAAAAUAUCGCGAUAGAACAACCAUGCCAUUUUGAUCGAUUUGACAUGAUGGAAUGUAGUCUAAAUAAGGUAGAAAAUGGGUACUACUAGUCCCGUCUUCCUUUUUCCUGCCAUCAAGCCAUCCCUGUACGUUUUCCUCGCAGGAAGUAGCAACGAGAGAGAGAGAGAGAGAAAGAGAGAGAGAAAGAGAGAGAGAGAGUUCUAUCGCGGACGACGAUGACAACAAAGUAACGUUCAAGUCAUAAUAUAAUAAACACAAACAUAAAGGUGCCUCUAUCGUAAUUUGAACGACGAAAAAUGAUCACAGUCGUCCAUGUGACGAAAAUAUUCAUGCGAAUCGACGAUAUCACUGCGAAGAAAGCUAUUUGAUUUUAAAUUCAAAUUCUCGUGUCAUUUUUCGAAGCCCCCAUCAGCAUUGCAUAAUCGAAUAAUAAACAAAAAGAUGACACAGGUGCGUGUUUUUAAAUUGUUCCAUGAAAUGUCACAAAACAAAUGAAACAAUAAAUAAGGAAAAAGUUCAAACGAUCUUGUCGGCUGAGAUUCGACGGUAUUCACUGAGAAAAAAAAAUCAUAUUUCCAAUAUAUAUAUAUAUAUAGUUUACGUGGAGGUUGAAUAAAAAAAAGUAGUCAAGCAAUCGACAAAACUGUGAUCUGUUAAUUUUUUCUUUAUCUAAUCAUUAUUAUGAAAUAUUAAAAUGUUCUAACGGAUUUGUAAUAUUUGCAAUCAUGCAUUAAUGUUAAGAUGCAUUUUAUCAUUAAAAUCAAAUAAUUUUGUUGGUUCUUUCGUCGCUUAUUAUAUAAAUCUGUAAAACCAAUUUACUUCUUAAUAGCUAAGCAAAGCCAAGCCAUUUUCGGAUAAACAGGAUAUUAAUUUAGUCCUAAUUUACGCGAAUCUGUUUUUCCAUCAAAAUAAACAUAUUUAUAUUUUUUAAUAUAUAAACAAGAAAAGAACAAUUUUUAUUAAAGCACAUUUCUAAAGAAAAGACAAAAACAAAAAAUAGAAAAGUUUUCAAAUGUUACUCAAAGGUAUUAGCCCCCCCCCUCCUCAGAAUGUUUUUUGCAUAGUCAUUUAUAAUUUGUUGGUCAAGUUUUGAAAAACCUCAGGGAUCUUAUUUUUCAAUGUAUCAAAGAUUUUUCCUGGUGAGAAUUGAAAGCACAGAUGAGAGAUGUUAACGUAAAGGAAAGAGUAAUAUUAACGUAAUAUUAACGUCAAGUAUAACAAAUAAUCCAUCUUUUCUGCUGAGAUUGGUAAUAAUUAAUUUGGAAGUAAGAAACAAAAAAACAAAAAAAGAGAAGAAGAAACAAAAGGAAUAAUAAUAAUGUAUUAAUGCCAAAAAUUGUGAAGUUAGAAGAGAAGAUAGAUUCGCCGGAAGCCAGCCGUAUAUGUACAAAUUAUGGUGCACAAUAAUCGUUGACGGAUAAAUAGUAUUUUGUUUUAAACUGAUCUCUUCUCUUCGUUUAAUUCAAGUUCUAAUACAAACAAAUUUAAUGAUUAACUUUAUACGAGAGACACGUAUAGCCAUGGUAUUUUAGUGCCUUUCGUGGGCAGAGAAAUGUGCCUUAUUCUAUGUGUCUCGUGAAAGAAUUGCUUACAAGAAAAAACAAAACAAACAAAAAAAAAAAGAACUAGUAUGAACGAGAAAUAAGUGUUCUGUGUUAAUUGAUUCUGUUAUUUUAUAUAUUUUUUACGUUAUUUAAACUGCUUGCUAAAUUGUAAUGUAUUAUAUUGGCAAAUUAUAAAUUAGAUGUACGUGCUAUGAUUAUUUCUAACAUUAUAGUAGAAAUUUUAUAUUGAUUAUAUUAAAUGUGCUAAUUAAAAAUGAAUAAUUAAAACAAGAAAUUGUAUUUAUGAUCGGACCAACUUCUUGAAGUUCUUAAUGAAAGCUUAUACGAAAAAAAGAGAGAGAGAGCGAGAGCGAGAGAGAGAGAGAGAGAGAGAGAGAGAGAGAGAGAAAGAGUAAGAGAGAAAGCUAUUAUUAAAAAAAGAAUGAAAAGAAAAUUCAAUUAAAAUUUUAUUGUGUUUGUUUUCGAAAUAUAACAACGCGUAGAUUCAUUAUUAUUAUUAUUUUUUUUUUGGUUUUCAUUUUAAUACACUAAACACACAACACAGGUAUACACACAUUUACACACGUACAUACUACGUACAAAUAUUAUAAUAAAUUUAGUAUUGUUAUUAUAUUGCUUCUCUCUUAUGUGAGUGCAUCCCAUCGAGGUGGAUUUUGUUAUUAAUCGAUGAUCGAAUUAUUCGUCGUUCAUUCUGUAAUUAAUUCAACAAAGAUUUAUGAAAUUAAUAUCUUAUGUCUAUCGAAAAAUAAACUUUUGUAUAAAAUUUCUUAUAUUUACGUUUUUAUAUAGAAAAAUUGUCGUCAUACGUUUAGAUCGAUAUUUUGCAAGAAGGUUGCACUCAUAUUUUAUACACGUUACAUUUUGUCUUUCGUAUAAGGAAAAAAACAAAACAAAUGAAUAUUAUCCGAACUUAUUAUAAAGUAAUGAAUUAAUUAAGACCUCUUCGUGAAUAAUGAAAUUAUUUUCAAUAAUUUAUUAUUACGGUGACUAUAGUCCAUUAUCAAUGUGUAUCCGUUUAUUUUAAAAUGUCGAUUAUUAUCAAGAAAUUAAUUAGAACAGCUUUAUACUUUUUGCAAUAUCAUACGUUAAAUAUUUUUAUUUUUAUUUAUAUUUGGUAUUUAACUUUUUUUUUCUUUUCUUGUAAAUUAUUUACUGGCGGUUUAUAUUUGAUUUCUCUCUUGUUUGCAUUUUAUCGAUCACUGUACGUUGAUAUAUGUGUGUUAUAAAAUUGGAUACACACAAAUUUUACUUCAUUUUUCGUCUUUGCACCACAUUGUUCAUCCUAAAUGCAAAUUAGACGAGAAGCAAAGUAAUUUCUUAUUACAUUAGGAAAGAAAUAAUAUUAUUUUUAU